This 101-nucleotide microRNA precursor is filed under the name Marmota monax (woodchuck). The record is from RNAcentral. Lineage: Eukaryota; Metazoa; Chordata; Mammalia; Rodentia; Sciuridae.
AGUGGGAUUGCUGGUUCACAUGGUAGUUUUUUUUUAUUUUUUAAGCAACCUCCAUACUGUUUUCCAUAAUGGCUAUACCAAUUUAUAUUCCCACUAACAGU